Ceratotherium simum simum (southern white rhinoceros) is the source of this 4926-nucleotide non-coding RNA. The record is from RefSeq and is a predicted model, not a curated record. NCBI's taxonomy places the organism in Eukaryota, Metazoa, Chordata, Mammalia, Perissodactyla, Rhinocerotidae.
GUGUUCUUACAAGUGCUUGCUUAGCGACUACUGACUACUGCACGUAACAGUGUUUCUAACGUCUUCUCGUAAAAGGAGAAAGCUUCGUAGCUCAACCAUGAAGGACAGCAGUCGUGUAGGGCAUGGAGCUGGAAAACUAUGAACAGCCGGUGGUUCUGAGGGAGGUCAACCGCCGCCGGCGCCGGAGGAUGAAGCCGCGCAGCUCUGCGGCCAGCCUGUCCUCCAUGGAGCUCAUCCCCAUCGAGUUCGUGCUGCCCACCAGCCAGCGCAACAGCAAGACCCCCGAAACGGCGCUGCUGCACGUGGCUGGCCACGGCAACGUGGAGCAGAUGAAGGCCCAGGUGUGGCUGCGCGCGCUGGAGACGAGCGUGGCGGCGGACUUCUACCACCGGCUCGGCCCGGACCACUUCCUCCUGCUCUACCAGAAGAAGGGGCAGUGGUACGAGAUCUACGACAAGUACCAGGUGGUGCAGACGCUGGACUGCCUGCGCUACUGGAAGAUGGUGCACAGGAGCCCGGGCCAGAUCCACGUGGUGCAGCGGUGCGCGCCCUCGGAGGAGACGCUGGCCUUCCAGCACCAGCUCACCGCCCUGAUUGGCUACGAUGUCACCGAUGUCAGCAACGUGCACGACGACGAGCUCGAGUUUACGCGCCGCCGCCUGGUCACCCCGCGCAUGGCCGAGGUGGCCGGCCGUGACCCCAAGCUCUACGCCAUGCAUCCCUGGGUGACGUCCAAGCCCCUCCCGGAGUACCUGUUGAAGAAGAUUACCAACAACUGCAUCUUCAUUAUCAUUCAUCGCAGCACCACCAGCCAGACCAUCAAGGUCUCAGCUGAUGACACCCCAGGCACCAUCCUCCAGAGCUUCUUCACCAAGAUGGCCAAGAAGAAGUCGCUGAUGGAUAUCCCGGAAAGCCAAAAUGAACAGGACUUUGUGCUGCGUGUCUGUGGCCGGGAUGAGUACCUGGUGGGUGAAACGCCCGUCAAAAACUUCCAGUGGGUGAGGCAUUGCCUCAAGAAUGGGGAGGAGAUUCACCUGGUGCUUGACACGCCUCCCGACCCAGCCCUGGACCAGGUGAGGAAAGAAGAGUGGCCGCUGGUGGAUGACUGCACGGGAGUCACCGGCUACCAUGAGCAGCUAACCAUCCACGGGAAGGACCAUGAGAGUGUGUUCACUGUCUCCCUGUGGGACUGUGACCGGAAGUUCAGGGUCAAAAUCAGAGGCAUCGAUAUCCCUGUCCUGCCCCGGAACGCUGACCUGACGGUUUUUGUGGAAGCAAAUAUCCAGCAUGGGCAGCAAGUCCUUUGCCAGAGGAGAACCAGCCCCAAACCCUUCACAGAGGAGGUGCUCUGGAAUGUGUGGCUUGAGUUCAGUAUCAAAAUCAAAGACUUACCCAAAGGGGCUCUACUGAACCUCCAGAUCUACUGUGGCAAAGCUCCCGCGCUGUCUGGCAAGGCCUCUGCAGAGACUUCCAGUUCUGAGUCCAAAGGCAAAGUUCAGCUUCUCUAUUAUGUGAACCUGCUGUUGAUAGACCACCGGUUCCUCCUGCGCCAUGGGGAAUACGUGCUCCACAUGUGGCAGAUAUCCGGGAAGGGAGAAGAUCAAGGGAGCUUCAGUGCUGACAAACUCACAUCUGCAACCAACCCAGACAAGGAGAACUCAAUGUCCAUCUCCAUUCUGCUGGACAAUUACUGUCACCCAAUAGCAUUGCCUAAGCAUCAGCCCACCCCUGACCCCGAAGGGGACCGGGUUCGAGCCGAAAUGCCCAACCAGCUUCGGAAGCAACUGGAGGCGAUCAUAGCCACUGAUCCACUUAACCCUCUCACAGCAGAAGACAAAGAAUUGCUGUGGCAUUUCAGAUAUGAAAGCCUUAAGCAUCCAAAAGCAUAUCCUAAGCUUUUUAGCUCAGUGAAAUGGGGACAGCAAGAAAUUGUGGCCAAAACAUAUCAGUUGUUAGCCAGAAGGGAGGUAUGGGAUCAAAGUGCUUUGGAUGUUGGGUUAACAAUGCAACUCCUGGACUGCAACUUUUCAGAUGAAAAUGUAAGAGCCAUUGCAGUUCAGAAACUGGAGAGCUUGGAGGAUGAUGAUGUUCUGCAUUACCUGCUACAGCUGGUUCAGGCUGUGAAGUUUGAACCAUACCAUGACAGUGCCCUUGUCAGAUUUCUGCUGAAGCGUGGUUUACGAAACAAAAGAAUUGGUCACUUCUUGUUUUGGUUCUUGAGAAGUGAGAUAGCCCAGUCCAGGCACUAUCAGCAGAGGUUCGCUGUGAUCCUGGAAGCCUACCUGAGGGGCUGUGGCAUGGCCAUGCUGCACGACUUUGCCCAACAAGUCCGAGUAAUUGAGAUGUUACAAAAGGUCACCAUUGACAUUAAAUCGCUCUCAGCUGAAAAGUAUGACGUCAGUUCCCAAGUUAUUUCACAACUUAAGCAAAAGCUUGAAAACCUACAGAAUUUGAAUCUCCCCAAAAGCUUUAGAGUUCCAUAUGACCCUGGGCUGAAGGCAGGAGCACUGGUGAUUGAAAAAUGUAAAGUGAUGGCCUCCAAGAAAAAGCCCCUGUGGCUUGAGUUUAAAUGUGCCGACCCUACAGCUCUAUCAAAUGAAACAAUUGGAAUUAUCUUUAAACAUGGUGAUGAUCUGCGCCAAGACAUGCUUAUUUUACAGAUUCUACGAAUCAUGGAGUCUAUUUGGGAGACUGAAUCCUUGGAUCUGUGCCUCCUGCCAUAUGGUUGCAUUUCAACUGGUGACAAAAUAGGAAUGAUCGAGAUCGUGAAAGAUGCCACAACAAUUGCCAAAAUUCAGCAAAGCACAGUGGGCAACACAGGAGCAUUUAAAGACGAAGUCCUGAAUCACUGGCUCAAGGAAAAAUGCCCUCUUGAAGAAAAGUUUCAGGCAGCAGUGGAGAGAUUUGUUUAUUCCUGUGCUGGCUACUGUGUGGCAACCUUUGUUCUUGGAAUAGGCGACAGGCACAAUGACAAUAUUAUGAUCACAGAGAUGGGAAAUCUAUUUCAUAUUGACUUUGGGCACAUUCUUGGGAAUUACAAAAGUUUCCUGGGCAUUAAUAAAGAGAGAGUGCCAUUUGUGCUAACCCCAGACUUCCUGUUUGUGAUGGGAACUUCUGGAAAGAAGACAAGCCUACACUUCCAGAAAUUUCAGGAUGUCUGCGUGAAGGCUUAUCUAGCCCUUCGUCAUCACACAAACCUACUGAUCAUCCUGUUCUCCAUGAUGCUGAUGACGGGAAUGCCCCAGUUAACCAGCAAAGAAGACAUUGAAUAUAUUCGGGAUGCCCUAACAGUGGGGAAGAAUGAGGAGGAUGCUAAAAAGUAUUUUCUUGAUCAGAUUGAAGUUUGCAGAGACAAAGGAUGGACUGUGCAGUUUAACUGGUUCCUACAUCUUGUUCUUGGCAUCAAACAAGGAGAGAAACAUUCAGCUUAAUACUUUGAGCUAGAAUUAAAAACUAGGCAGUGUUCUCAAGCUUUAGAUCAGCAUGUCAGUCAUUGACCUUGCAUUUAAAAUGUAAAGGGACAUUAUGAAAGCUGGCACUUCCGAAAUACGGCUCUCUUCCUAGCUGAACCCCUCACUGGAGAAAAAUGUUGGCGUGGCUGACUGUUUCAGUAAUGUUCAGUUCUAGGUCUAUUUGCAGGUGUGUUUUUUCUCCUUUGUCUCAGUGAUGUUGGAGAACAUUCCAAGUUUAAACAGACUGAUUACUUCCUCAUUGUGCCUGACGUUUUGACUAUCUUCAUAUUGACUACUUUUGGAAAUUCUUUAAAAUAAUUGGUGAAGAAUUAUGGGUAGAAUAAUCUAUUUUCAUUUGGGUUUACUCUGAAUUUUGGUUAUCCUUGUGUUCCUCAAGCUCUUUACAGGAAAAUAUGUAAUCAUUGUAACCUGUGUCUCCUUCCUGAGGUGAUGCUUCCAAACAUCCUCUCCGUGUCUGCCGAUGUUAGUGAUGUGCUAAAAGCCAGGAAAGCAAGUCAGUCUUUUCAGUGUCUUCUGUAAUUAGGUUCUUUUACAGUAUACAACUGAGACACACAAACACAAAAUGGAAAAUCUGAACCUUUGUGGCCAUAACCCUGGCCCUUCUCUGCUGGUCUGGUUCCAGGGUUAUGAAUAGGAAAAAUAGAGAUGAGACCAUUUGUCUCAACUCUGCCCACAGAGGGAAUUAUCAAGUACAAUUAUUAUAACCUUCUCCAGCAUAGAAACUACUGUAACUAAAGGGACUCAGUUUCUCCCUCUACAUUGUCUUCCUUUCUCCUGGCUUCCCUUCUUCCUCCAUUGCCACCCUCCCACAACUCUUUAUCCAGAGUUGUGAAAUCUUCAAGAACAUCUUUACCCUGGAAUUCAAAAGUUAAUUGAAAAAGAAUUUCUCCUCUAGGGUUACUAGAAUUUUAGGUACUUACUUGUAAAAAUGGGGUGCAGUUUUUUAAAAGUAUAUUAUUAAAGGAGACAUUCUAGAAAAUAUGGAUUAGUUUCCACAUGCCUUAAUUUUAAAUUUUGGUCUGAGCAGCUUUUUCUUUCUUUUUUAACAGAAGAAGAUAUUUGAUAUCUAAAAAGUGCUCCAAGUUAGGAAGAACACUACUUGCCUUAUCCAGCUCUAGUUUAAAGGACUUUUCAACUUCAAUACAUUCUUCAGAUUUCCUAAAAAUAAUUGAAAUGUCUUCUUCAAAAACUAUUUUUAUCUCUUAAAUAUUUUGCUAUUUAUUGGAAGUAUUGUUUAACCUUAGAGAAAGAUUGUUAAAUUAUUUAUAAAAUAUUUUAAAAUUACCUAUAGUUAAUACUUUACAUAGAAAUAACUGUUAAUGGUGUCUAUGUUUAAGUAUAAUCAGAUUAAAAUUUAUGUUUAAUUUUUAAGUUUUCUAAAUAGAUACUUGUUUGACUUUGCUAUAGCCCAAAACUUUCCUUUUGUGGAUGCAAAAGCCCAGACCAUGCCCUG